Molecule: ribosomal RNA, 253 nt
Filed under: uncultured bacterium
Lineage: Bacteria
Description: partial 16S ribosomal RNA
Rfam family: Bacterial small subunit ribosomal RNA
Source: RNAcentral
UUUGAAAGGGGCUAGCGUUGUUCGGAAUUACUGGGCGUAAAGCGCACGUAGGCGGCCUUGUAAGUUGGGGGUGAAAUCCCGGGGCUCAACUCCGGAACUGCCUUCAAGACUGCAAAGCUAGAGGACGCGAGAGGUUAGCGGAAUUCCGAGUGUAGAGGUGAAAUUCGUAGAUAUUCGGAAGAACACCAGUGGCGAAGGCGGCUAACUGGCGCGUUUCUGACGCUGAGGUGCGAAAGCGUGGGGAGCAAACAGG